Molecule: long non-coding RNA, 1615 nt
Organism: Equus caballus (horse)
Lineage: Eukaryota; Metazoa; Chordata; Mammalia; Perissodactyla; Equidae
Source: Ensembl
AGGAGGCAACCCUGAGAUUGCAAGAAUUGCAAGAAGCCACUAUUACCUCCAGGGCCAGCAGGGAGGGGAUUGACUCCCUGCCACUCUAUUGUGGACGGUCUUGACGUGACUGUAAAUCUGGGAAGCUGAAGAGGUUUGGGGAGGCUCCUUCCAGUAGACCUCUCCUUUCACCGCCUUGUACAGCAGGCCCGGGCAUGCGACCUAGACUCAGCCAAUUUGACGUUCUCUCCUGGGAUUAUGAAUCUUGAACCAGCAUGAAAAAAGAUCUGGGACCGGUCACUAAUUCAGAAGAGGGUAGACACAGGGCUUCCGAGCUUGGCGAGUAAGAGCCUACCUGGACAGCUCUCCUUGCUGCAGCGGGGAGGUAUGAGUUUGCAAAGCAUCUCUCAAAUGGGUAAAUUUUUCUUUGAUCUUAUGCUGAAUUAGUUUCUUCUCUUACAAAGCCCGUGUCUGGCUUUCAGCCUCAAAACAAUACAUCUCAAUCUGAAAUCUCCUCUCAGCUGGCAUUUUUCCUUUUCUUGUAUGUCAAUGGAUUUUUUUCUGUUUCUUUUCUUUUAUGUUCAUGCAACAAUCCUGAAAAUAGAGUGAUUCAACUGCGUGAAGACAGCUGUACUUCCAAAUAAAAAUAUCUUCUGGAGGAAAAGAGUCUUUCUUAUAAGUAGAAUUGUCCCCCAAAAUUGUUCAGUUUUCAGAUUAUAGGGAAGGAAAUGAGCUCAACGGAAAAACCGAAAUAGACACACAUGAUUCCAGAGGAAUCUAAAGACAACGCUCAGAUCUGAGUUACCAGGCAACUCUCUCUCCAAGGAUGCCAUCAUUCUGAUUUUAUAGAAUAAUCAGGUGCCGGAAUUUCUGACUCAAGAGAUCUUGGGAUAAUAAUGAAUUCAUCUUUUAUGAUUUUAAAAAACUAUAAGAAGAAACUUCUCUCUUGCCUGGCACACACUUCACUACUUUUUCUUUCACAGUUUCUUUGUUGUGCGUCUUUAAAGCAAACAGAUCUUCACUUGUUUGGGAUGUUUUUGUUGGAUCCUGCUGAGAGUGGGGAUAGAUGGAAGACCACUCAAGACACUGCUUUUUAGCUGCUUCGGAAUCUGAUCUGAUGGUUAUUAAGAAGUUUUAUCUACAAGGAACAAAGGGAAAAUUGCACAUAAACAUCAUCUAAAACAACAGUCAUGGGACAUUCAGCCUCAUGCCUGAAAACAGGGUAAACAAAUUGGAUACAGAGCUGGACAAAGACAAAGGCACAUAAAAGAGUGUUUUCAUCAAUAUCUGAAAAAAAAACAUCCUUGCAGUAACAGUCGUCUGUUCAGGCACUUGUGUACAAAAUCUCAGAAUAGAGUUUUAGUAAAAAUUGUGUGCUAAUUUUCCAUUUUCUUUUUGUCUGUACCAUGAUAUGUUACCUUUUAUUCAUUUGCUCAUUAGUGAAAGCCUAAUUUGUGCGAGAGUCUCUGCUAGACAUGAGUCCACGCCAGUGCAAGAGUCUGCAGUCCCAGCCUCCAAGAUGCUUACCCUCCAGAGAUGGAAAGAGACAUGUCGACAGCUCUUGACCAAUGAUAUAGGACUGAAAAUAGUAGGAUCUACUGUUUGUGCCAUUACAGGGGGGCCCACUACCUAAGGC